UGUAGGAGGAAGUGUGUCACUGGGGGUGGGCUUUGAGGUUUCAGAAGCUCAGGUCAGGCCCAGUGGCUCACUCUCUCUUCCCAGUGCCUGCUGAUCC
Molecule: microRNA precursor, 97 nt
Filed under: Microtus ochrogaster (prairie vole)
Lineage: Eukaryota; Metazoa; Chordata; Mammalia; Rodentia; Cricetidae
Description: miRNA (ENSMOCG00000007662.1)
Source: RNAcentral